Long non-coding RNA from Drosophila sechellia, 564 nucleotides. RefSeq lists it as uncharacterized. NCBI's taxonomy places the organism in Eukaryota, Metazoa, Arthropoda, Insecta, Diptera, Drosophilidae. The transcript has 3 exons. The record is from RefSeq and is a predicted model, not a curated record.
AACUGUCAAUUUCAUGAGCGGGGAUUGCAGUUUGCAUUGCGUAACAUGCACUUAAAUAAAUUGACAAUAUCGACAACAAAAAGGGGCAGGCACACGUGCCGUUCACCUGCGGCGAACAAAAGCAAAAAAUACAGAAAGUUCACUCACUAAGCCAGACAAUCGCUGAAAGGACUCAAAGGUUGACUGCUUCUUGUUUUUCCCAGGACACUGGCCUAGUUCUUUACCAUUUUCCCUCCCUUUGCAAGCACCCCCACACACACACACACACACUGCUGCACUGGCUAAAAGAAUUUUCCACUGACUUUUAGUUUUGAUUCACAAGUGCCCAGGUGAGUGCCGAUUUCCGUGCUGGACUCGAGAGCGCACUUCUUGUUUUGAUAUUUUUCAGUCUUUCUGUUUUUGCUCAACAAAUUGCAGCCCAAGUGCAAUUUGCAGUUCGAGUGGUGAUCUAGCAUAAUUUAGAUGGAUAUUUCAGAAAGAUACGCUGCACUCUUUUCUUUCAUGUCAUGGUGGAGGACAAAGUAAAGUCUGCGAUGCUUCAAGGAAUUCGUCCUUAAUUAAAAG